Molecule: small RNA, 79 nt
Filed under: Flavobacterium limicola
Lineage: Bacteria; Pseudomonadati; Bacteroidota; Flavobacteriia; Flavobacteriales; Flavobacteriaceae
Description: Flavo-1 RNA
Source: RNAcentral
UUGCGUUCGUGAUAAAAGCGACAUACUUUCCUUAAUUACUUUAAGCAAGCGGAAGCUGUAGUGGAUAGCACGAUAAAAC